Camellia sinensis is the source of this 628-nucleotide non-coding RNA. Lineage: Eukaryota; Viridiplantae; Streptophyta; Magnoliopsida; Ericales; Theaceae. The record is from RefSeq and is a predicted model, not a curated record.
AAGGCAAUUGCAAAUUCCAAGGAAACUCUUUCUUGUGAUGGGGAUUUUCUGACAAAUUUGAUAGCCGAGGACGAUGCAAUGAGUGAAUCUUCUGUUGCUGACCUCUCUCGCUUCAUCCCGAAGAUGCCGGCAUCCCCUUCCAUGUCUCACAUUGUCAGCAUUGGGCAGCUUCUGGAAUCGGUAAUCUCAUUCUUCCUGUGUGUGCAUGCCCACAUAUUGACCGUUAAAAAAAGAUGAGUGCAUGUUAGUCAACAAGAUCAUGCAGCAUCUAAAAGUUUUUUAGCUUGUCAUUCAUGAAAAGUGAGUUAAAAUGACACUAGAAUCAAUGAAGAAAAGAUGGUACAAUGGCUUUAGGUUGAUUCUUCUGUUUCUAAACAAGUAAAUUGGAUAACACCUUCAAUAACUCUCCUAGUUAGAAUUCAUCAUUUAUUGGGCUAGCCAUUUUGUAUAGACAUGGCAGCAUGGUUAUCAGAAUCCUGAUCCAGAUCGUAAGAUCUAUAGUUCUAGUUGGGCCAAAUGAUUCAGAUCGCACUAGGAUUAAAGUGACUAUGAUCUUAGUGAUAAAAUCGUGUAGAAUCGCACUACGAUCCUGAUUCUACAACAAUCCCGAUCCUACAAAAAAAAAAAA